RNAcentral lists this ribosomal RNA (1596 nucleotides) under Triticum aestivum (bread wheat). RNAcentral describes it as "partial small subunit ribosomal RNA". Lineage: Eukaryota; Viridiplantae; Streptophyta; Magnoliopsida; Poales; Poaceae. The record is from RNAcentral.
CUAGCUUGGCAGCGUUCCUCGGGUGUUAUCGGACUAUCAGGGUGCGACGUCGCUCCGUCAGCCACCUGCCUGGACGCCCAGCAGGGGAGGGAACUCGGGGGGGCGCGCGGUACCUGCCUCUCGUUCCAGCCGUCGCCGGACUGAGGCCGUUCUUGGAGUAUUUCUAGGGCAGGAUGGUUCUCCAGAAGCCAUUGCCUCGGCGACGGAGGAGGAGGAGGAGCUGCGGGGGGAGGAUGUUGGGAGGAGAGGGGUCGCGGCGGCGACGGCGGCGGCCGAGAAACAGCAGCAGCAGCAAGAGGCUCCGGAAGAGGAAGGAGUUUAGGAGGCUCAAGAUGAGGGGAGGGGGCGGCGGAGGUGUCGGUAGGUGGCGGGGAUCCGGCGGAAACCGACCGCGGUGGUGAUGCGGCAGCGUCUCGUUCUUGCGGUAAGAUCACUCGUUAUCCGUCUUUCCCUUGGGUAAUGACUUCGUGUAGUCCUUACGCUCCACCUGCAAGCGACUGUAGCAAGGCCUGAUGCACUAACCCGUUAGUAGUACGCGUGAUAUGUAUUCAGAGUCCAUGGUAGAAGAAGUGGGUCUGAUGAACAUGAUAGCCUAUUCCCUCGAGGUUUUCUUAAAGUUUGAGGCACAGUAGAACACGGUAUAACUAUAACUUCUACAUCAUUUCGGAAAUGUACUUCAGUGUUCCUGUAGUGACGACGUACUGACGUGGGAAGACACACCAACCUCAGACCUCCUUACACCGUCCAUGAACCUCUGAUAAUUUCACAAACUUUUGUUCGGUCGACUGUCGUAAGCGCUCGUGUGUCUAUUACUAAUAAAUAGAGCCAAGUGAGUACGAGAAUGUAGCUAGGCCGCACAAUUGUUUUGUCUACAAUAGUGUGAACCAAGCAGAAAACCCAGUGAAAGGGCUUAGUACCUACGAAGAUACCUUCUUGAUCGAGCAACAGGUCCUUAACCGCUCGCCUUCCAUUUCGCUGAAGUACUAUGAAAAGUACUCGGUAAAUUUGCUCAAUGCGGGGCGGGUUUGGAGCAUCAUGGACUAUGAGGGCUGUCUCUCUUUCACAGACCAGUCGGAAGUAGCUGGUUGCUACCGUGCGGCCUUUUCGGUCCGUGAAGGUUCUUGUUCUUUCCGGGACUACAGUUUAGCCGGGAAUGACGACGUAAACGUUUCAUGAGUCUUUUCUAGGCGUCAGUCCCGGCGCUCCGCCGGGUACUCCGACCACUUCCAGGAUCGUCGAGUUGGUACCUUCCACUGUUCUGUUUUGUUAAUCUAAUCGUCAUCCUUCCUCAUCCUUCACCGUGCACGUCCACAUGACGACAACAACAUCGACGUUUUAAACGAAGGAGACAAAUAACGAGGAUUUGUUCCCACUUAAAACGUAACAUGACUAACAACAACAUCACAUCCGGAAGGGAAAAGAGUCGUUCCCAACCUAAAACGUAACAAUACGACCGGAGGAGAAAGGACAGUUGUGUUAAAUCGGCUAGAAGAGAAAAAAAGACGGAACCUCUUGAGAGUCUCGGUAGGUUUUCAUGUGGCCUUUUACAUUAGACAUAAAACACUAUUUGUAACGGGUACGAAGCAACAAGAACAA